This 253-nucleotide ribosomal RNA is filed under the name uncultured bacterium. Its description in RNAcentral is "partial 16S ribosomal RNA". It matches the Rfam family "Bacterial small subunit ribosomal RNA", at positions 524 to 776 of the family's 1533-position model. The record is from RNAcentral.
UACGUAGGUGGCAAGCGUUGUCCGGAUUUAUUGGGCUUAAAGGGUGCGUAGGCGGCUUUGUAAGUCAGUGGUGAAAUAUGGCAGCUCAACUGUCAAGGUGCCAUUGAUACUGCGGAGCUUGAGUACAGAUGAGGUAGGCGGAAUUGACGGUGUAGCGGUGAAAUGCUUAGAUAUCGUCAAGAACACCUAUAGCGAAGGCAGCUUACUAGGCUGUAACUGACGCUGAGGCACGAAAGUGUGGAGAGCAAACAGG